AUCAACGCUGGCGGCGCGCCUAACACAUGCAAGUCGAACGAGAAAGGGGAGCAAUCCCUGAGUAAAGUGGCGCACUGGUGAGUAACACGUGGGUCAUCCACCCUUUGGCGGGGAAUAACCCUGGGAAACUGGGGAUAAUACCGCAUAAGUCCGAGAGGAGAAAGUCGCAAGACACCGAAGGAGGAGCCCGCGCCCGAUUAGCUAGUUGGUGAGGUAAGAGCUCACCAAGGCGACGAUCGGUAGCCGGCCUGAGAGGGCACACGGCCACACUGGCACUGAAACACGGGCCAGACUCCUACGGGAGGCAGCAGUGGGGAAUCUUGCACAAUGGGGGAAACCCUGAUGCAGCGACGCCGCGUGAACGAUGAAGCCCUUCGGGGUGUAAAGUUCUUUCGGCAGGGACGAUAAUGACGGUACCUGCAGAAGCAGCUGCGGCUAACUACGU
Molecule: ribosomal RNA, 445 nt
Filed under: uncultured bacterium
Lineage: Bacteria
Description: bacterial SSU rRNA
Rfam family: Bacterial small subunit ribosomal RNA
Source: RNAcentral